This 337-nucleotide ribosomal RNA is filed under the name uncultured bacterium. Its description in RNAcentral is "bacterial SSU rRNA". It matches the Rfam family "Bacterial small subunit ribosomal RNA", at positions 1 to 334 of the family's 1533-position model. The record is from RNAcentral.
CUGUACAGUCAGAGUUUGAUCCUGGCUCAGGACGAACGCUGGCGGCGUGCUUAACACAUGCAAGUCGAACGGUGAACUUGGAGCUUGCUCCGGGGAUCAGUGGCGAACGGGUGAGUAACACGUGAGUAACCUGCCCCAGACUCUGGGAUAGCUUCGGGAAACCGAGGCUAAUACCGGAUAUGCGACGAGAAGGCAUCUUCAUCGUCGGGAAAGAAUUUCGGUCUGGGAUGGACUCGCGGCCUAUCAGCUAGUUGGUGGGGUAAUGGCCUACCAAGGCGACGACGGGUAGCCGGCCUGAGAGGGCGACCGGCCACACUGGAACUGAGACACGGUCCAG